RNAcentral lists this ribosomal RNA (292 nucleotides) under uncultured Planctomycetota bacterium. RNAcentral describes it as "uncultured planctomycete partial 16S ribosomal RNA". The record is from RNAcentral. Lineage: Bacteria; Pseudomonadati; Planctomycetota.
GGACUACUAGGGUUUCUAAUCCCGUUUGCUCCCCUAGCUUUCGCGCCUCAGCGUCAGAAGAGGUCCAGCACGUCGCUUUCGCCACCGGCGUUCCUCCAGAUAUCUACGCAUUUCACCGCUCCACCUGGAGUUCCACAUGCCCCUACCUCCCUCCAGACAACCAGUAUCAGGGGCUGUUUUCCGGUUGAGCCGAAAGAUUUCACCCCUGACUUGAUCGCCCGCCUACGCGCCCUUUAAGCCCAGUGAAUCCGAACAACGUUCGCACGGUUCGUCUUACCGCGGCUGCUGGCAC